Molecule: small nuclear RNA, 104 nt
Filed under: Peromyscus maniculatus bairdii (prairie deer mouse)
Lineage: Eukaryota; Metazoa; Chordata; Mammalia; Rodentia; Cricetidae
Source: RNAcentral
AUGCUCAUUUUAGCAGCACAUACACUAAAGUUGGAAUGACACAGAGAUCAGCAUGGCCCCUGCUCAAGGAGGACACACAAAUUCAUGAGAUGAACCAUAUUUAG